UCCGAGACGCAGCACGCUCAUCCGGCGCUUGUCACCUUCGAUCAACAAUAGUAACUAGAUUUCGGGUCGGUGCAUAAAAUCCGUCUCGUUAAAUAACAGCGCACUUGAAAUGUGAGCUCUUAUUUUGUUUAGUUCACUUCAAACACAGCCAAUGUCAACCCGUCUCACAAUACCGCAGUGUGUAUUCAAAAGUUGCAAAAAUAAGGCCCGAAAAAGCAAUUUAACGGCCGGAGUAUCUUACUUUCGCUUUCCUAGCAAUCACGUGUGCAGAAUGGAUCUCGAUCGUCGCCAGAGAAACAAGAGAUGACUUUUAUAAGCCAGCUAAGAACUCCGCUUAUUGACACUGGACAUCUUUGCCUUCCGUGCUCACGGCUACUGAAAUGUGGCCGAAACAUUGUAAUAAAAAUACCACGCUUGAAACCGUUUAAA
Bombyx mori (domestic silkworm) is the source of this 429-nucleotide long non-coding RNA. RefSeq lists it as uncharacterized. Lineage: Eukaryota; Metazoa; Arthropoda; Insecta; Lepidoptera; Bombycidae. The record is from RefSeq and is a predicted model, not a curated record. The transcript is spliced from 2 exons.